This 456-nucleotide ribosomal RNA is filed under the name uncultured bacterium. Its description in RNAcentral is "bacterial SSU rRNA". It matches the Rfam family "Bacterial small subunit ribosomal RNA", at positions 923 to 1379 of the family's 1533-position model. The record is from RNAcentral.
GCACAAGCGGUGGAGCAUGUGGUUUAAUUCGACGCAACGCGAAGAACCUUACCUGGGUUUGACAUGUGCAGGAUCGGUGAUGAAAGUCACUCUCCCUUCGGGGCCUGUGCACAGGUGCUGCAUGGCUGUCGUCAGCUCGUGUCGUGAGAUGUUGGGUUAAGUCCCGCAACGAGCGCAACCCUUGCCCUCUGUUGCUACCGGGUCAUGCCGGGCACUCUGGGGGGACUGCCCCGGUGAACGGGGAGGAAGGUGGGGAUGACGUCAAGUCCUCAUGGCCUUUAUGUCCAGGGCUACACACGUGCUACAAUGGUCAGGACAAUGGGUCGCUCCCGCGUAAGCGGUUGCCAAUCUCAAAAACCUGGCCCUAGUUCGGAUGGUCGGCUGCAACUCGCCGGCCUGAAGCUGGAAUCGCUAGUAAUCGGAGAUCAGCACGCUCCGGUGAAUACGUUCCCGGGC